This 71-nucleotide transfer RNA is filed under the name Camelus bactrianus (Bactrian camel). It matches the Rfam family "tRNA". Rfam says of the family: Transfer RNA (tRNA) molecules are approximately 80 nucleotides in length. Their secondary structure includes four short double-helical elements and three loops (D, anti-codon, and T loops). The record is from Rfam by way of RNAcentral. Lineage: Eukaryota; Metazoa; Chordata; Mammalia; Artiodactyla; Camelidae. RNAcentral also lists the same sequence under 2 other names.
GGGGAUGUAGCUCAGUGGUAGAGCACGUGCUUAGCAUGCACUGGGUCCUCGGUUCAUUCCCCAGCACCUCA